Molecule: long non-coding RNA, 484 nt
Filed under: Cricetulus griseus (Chinese hamster)
Lineage: Eukaryota; Metazoa; Chordata; Mammalia; Rodentia; Cricetidae
Description: lncRNA (ENSCGRG00000025742.1)
Source: RNAcentral
CAACAUAAAGCAAUAGUGAAUGAAUCUAAAAUACAGAUUCACCCAGAAAGACUCAGUCCUUCAAUUUGCAUGCUGCAGAUUCUCCUGUAUAUGAUUCAUUGUCGGAAUAAAUAAGAACUGAAGAAGAGUAAACUAUGAGCAAUGUGCCGGAAACAAUUUCUUCAUCUCCAAAAGAAAGGAAAGUAAAUAUUAAAUUCUGCUGUUCCUCAAGAAAAUGGUUGGGGAUGAGAACUUUCAGUCUUUCUCUAAGACAGGGACGCUGGCAGGGAAGUCAAGCUUCAGAUGCCCUGCAUGGUAAGUCUGCUUUGUUUGGCUUUCAGCAUCAAUAUUACUAACAGACUUCCAUUAUGAAUUUUGUACAUGUUUGUUUAAUCAUGUCAUCUGUAGUACACUGUUCUCUCCUUUUUGUUUGAAAGUUUAUAGUCUUCUGAUCCAAAUACAUUGUAAAAACUUGCUUGUUUUUCACAGAGCACCUACAUAUGAC